This 45-nucleotide non-coding RNA is filed under the name Trichobilharzia regenti. The record is from RNAcentral. Lineage: Eukaryota; Metazoa; Platyhelminthes; Trematoda; Strigeidida; Schistosomatidae.
AGUUGGCUGACAAGUCCUAAAUAGGACGAAAUGAGCAUCCUAAAU